AUUCGAUCCUCAAGCUGUCAGUAAGCUGAUAACUCCGCCCCCUCUAUAUUCAUUGAAUCAACUGAAGUUCCACAGCAGCCGCACAGUAGACAACAGCUGAGCUGAACAAAGUUUUGCGAAGGGUAAAUAAAUAUCUUGUUGUUUGAAUAAGUACUACUUAACACUAUGUCUAUAAAGGCUUAUAUUUUAUUUAUUUGAUGUCUGACUGACUCACUGACUGAGACAUGUGGGACGUCGCCUGAGAGAGAGGGCUAGCAUUUGCCAUCUAGUCAUAGCCAAUACAUAGCCAACACUUAAAUAGCCUGUGCAUACAGUAGCAUUUCAUCUUUUAUAAAAUGCGAUUUUGGCCAAAUGCAUUUUACCACAGGAAAAACUGAGCUAUAUAGCUCUAUAUAGCUACAAAAACUAGUUUGUAACCUGUAGAUGAAAAAUGUAAUGUGAGGCGCCGUGGCCGUUUUAAUAAUGAAAAAAAAAAAAAAUUCACAUUUGCACACAUUCGCUGGUCAAAAACUAUAUAUUGAUAAGUAAUACAACAACAUAUAAUUUGUUUUUACCAUUGGAAAAUCAUAACAGGUGCGCCCCCGCGCUGUUUCGUACUGGAACUUAUAUUACACAAUAUUACUGUUUUUGCUGUAUUUUGGAUCAAAUAAAUGAAGCCUUGGAAUGAAUCAUGAAUUACAUUCUGCAUGAUAAAAUAUAAAGAUUUCACAGUGAUCUUCUGUAAAAAUUUUUUAGUUACUACUACAUUACUGUAGUAAAAACCAUGUUUUACUACAUUUUAUACAUGUGAGGACGAGCGGAGAGUAUACCAUAACAUGAUUAGCCUAAAUGUUAAUAAAUUAAGUGUAUCAGCAAUCAUAAAUCAAAAAAGAAAUUUCUUAUAUGUUAUCUAGGUGACGAGGAUCACUCGUCGCUUUGUGUAAGUUCCAGUACGAAACAGCGCGGGGGCGCACCUGUUAUGAUUUUCCAAUGGUAAAAACAAAUUAUAUGUUGUUGUAUUACUUAUCAAUAUAUAGUUUUUGACCAGCGAAUGUGUGCAAAUGUGAAUUUUUUUUUUUUUUCAUUAUUAAAACGGCCACGGCGCCUCACAUUACAUUUUCAUCUACAGGUUACAAACUAGUUUUUGUAGCUAUAUAGAGCUAUAUAGCUCAGUUUUUCCUGUGGUAAAAUGCAUUUGGCCAAAAUCGCAUUUUAUAAAAGAUGAAAUGCUACUGUAUGCACAGGCUAUUUAAGUGUUGGCUAUGUAUUGGCUAUGACUAGAUGGCAAAUGCUAGCCCUCUCUCUCAGGCGACGUCCCACAUGUCUCAGUCAGUGAGUCAGUCAGACAUCAAAUAAAUAAAAUAUAAGCCUUUAUAGACAUAGUGUUAAGUAGUACUUAUUCAAACAACAAGAUAUUUAUUUACCCUUCGCAAAACUUUGUUCAGCUCAGCUGUUGUCUACUGUGCGGCUGCUGUGGAACUUCAGUUGAUUCAAUGAAUAUAGAGGGGGCGGAGUUAUCAGCUUACUGACAGCUUGAGGAUCGAAUAAGAUUUACACAAGCUCGUUUUAAGAACUUUCAUUUGCUAAAUAUUUGUAAAACAGACAGACAGACGUAAAGGGUGACCAAUAGCAUUGAUUAAAAAAAAAAAAACACCACCAAAAAAAGGGCACUUCGGAGUGUAAGGGCCAAAAGGGCAUGUGCUCUGCACAGGUUGAGCCCUACCUGUGCACGUGCCUGCCUAAACCUAACAACUACCUUGCUAACUAUAAAUAAGCAGUAAUUAGGAGUUCACAGAGGCAAAGCAGUAAUUAAUAGUGGGUUAAUAGUGAGAAAUCGACUCUCUUCUAAUUGAUUCACCUUACAAAAUACCAGCAUCUGCAUAAAGAAAGAAAGAAAGAAAGAAAGAAAGAAAGAAAGCUGAUUUUGCAGUCAAAGCUAUUUCAUAUGUCAGGCUUUACAAUGUUAAAACUAUGUCUUAAAAUCUAGUCUGGCCAACU
Molecule: long non-coding RNA, 1977 nt
Organism: Cyprinus carpio carpio
Lineage: Eukaryota; Metazoa; Chordata; Actinopteri; Cypriniformes; Cyprinidae
Source: Ensembl